GCGCCUGACGCUGCGGGGCCGUUCGGGCCCUGACUUCCGGAGGGCUGGGCUCUGGUGGUCCGCACCGCGUGCGCCAGUUAAAGACUCCUGUCUGCCGCCCAGGACGGACGGCGACCCAGCCCUACCCCAUCCCCAGACCCUGGACCCAGACCUGGACUCUGCCCCGAACCUCACCCCCGGGACCCAGGCCCCGGCCCUGCCCCGAACUCCCACUCCACACCCGGGACCAAGGUCCCAGCCCUGACCCGAACUCCCACCCCACACCCGGGACCGAGGCCCCGGCGCUUCCCCGAACUCCCACCCCACACCUGGGAUCAAGGUCCCAGCCCUGCCCCGAACUCCCAACCCCACAUCUGGGAUCCAGGCCCCGGCCCUGCCCCGAACUCCCACCCCACACCCGGGACCGAGGCCCCGGCGCUUCCCCGAACUCCCACCCCACACCUGGGAUCAAGGUCCCAGCCCUGCCCCGAACUCCCAACCCCACAUCUGGGAUCAAGACCCCUGCCCUGCCCGGAAUCCCCGCCCCACACUCGUAACCAAGGCCUAGGUUCAGCCCCGGAAUCCCCAAGCCCACACCUGGGAUCAAAGCCCCGGCCCUGCCCCGAACCACCAACUCACACCCGGGACCAAGGCCCCAGCACCACGUUUCCCAGAGGCGCUGGGGUCGGGCCCACGUUGGAACGAGUCAGAUGCUCUUGGCAGCUCAGGGAGGCGUUCACACUCCUGUCAUUUGCUUGAGGAUGGUGACGACUCCGAAGUAUAGCAGUAUGCUUUACCUACCCCGAUCAAUUUUAUGGAAGAAAAGGAAACCAAACAAAGCAUGGAAGAUAGAAGGCACAGUUCCAUUCAGCAAGGCAAACAGCAAACAUGCUGCGGCUCUUGGCAGCAGGAUGGCCAUUGAACGACCCACAUAUUCUGAGGCCAUCGCAACGCCAUCCCAGGCAGUCAGGACACACCACGCAGUACCGGGAAGGACGAAAGAAGUGACAGCCUGCUACGACAGAACGAAACGUUCUCUGGCCCUGGAAGGAGGCGGCUGCGGAGUCUCCGAUUUUCUCGAUUGACUGAGGAAUACCGGUUUCUUCUUUAAAUGUAAAAACUCCCAAAUCAUGAAGUUAAUGAAAUGCUUUUUAAAUUAACAAAUCAAACAAAAGUGGUUGAAAACUUGCCACGCUGGAACUCCUGGCAGUGUGAUAGUGGACCCCGGACCUGAGGAGGGCAGCAUAGGGGACCCCUGAGAGUGAAGUCCUCGGGCCCGAAGUCGCUCCCACCGCCGGCCGCCCGCCGCAGCCCACCUCCAAGCUUCCUGCGCUGCUCCCUGCUGGUGGGACCCAUGGUGUGCAUUCAUUCAGCUCACACAUGGUCAAAGACGCAGCUCCAAAUACCAAGCGACGCUGCUUGGUUUUUAAAAUUAAACUGUUAAUUUUGAGAUAAUCGUAGCUUCACAUGCAUUUGUAAGGAAUAAUACAGAGAGGUCUUGUUCACCCUUUACCCAGUUUUCCCCAA
Non-coding RNA from Chlorocebus sabaeus (green monkey), 1506 nucleotides. The record is from RefSeq and is a predicted model, not a curated record. NCBI's taxonomy places the organism in Eukaryota, Metazoa, Chordata, Mammalia, Primates, Cercopithecidae.